Molecule: ribosomal RNA, 253 nt
Filed under: uncultured bacterium
Lineage: Bacteria
Description: partial 16S ribosomal RNA
Rfam family: Bacterial small subunit ribosomal RNA
Source: RNAcentral
GACGUAGGGCGCAAGCGUUGUCCGGAUUUAUUGGGCGUAAAGAGCGUGUAGGCGGCUGGGUAGGUCUGCUGUGAAAACUCGAGGCUCAACCUCGAGACGUCGGCGGAAACCAUCUGGCUAGAGUCCGGAAGAGGAGAGUGGAAUUCCUGGUGUAGCGGUGAAAUGCGCAGAUAUCAGGAAGAACACCCGUGGCGAAGGCGGCUCGCUGGGACGGUACUGACGCUAAGGCGCGAAAGCGUGGGGAGCGAACAGG